AACGAACGCUGGCGGCAUGCCUAACACAUGCAAGUCGAACGAGACCUUCGGGUCUAGUGGCGCACGGGUGCGUAACGCGUGGGAACCUGCCCUUAGGUUCGGAAUAACUCCCCGAAAGGGGUGCUAAUACCGGAUAAUGUCUUCGGACCAAAGAUUUAUCGCCUUUGGAUGGGCCCGCGUUGGAUUAGCUAGUUGGUAGGGUAAAAGCCUACCAAGGCGACGAUCCAUAGCUGGUCUGAGAGGAUGAUCAGCCACACUGGGACUGAGACACGGCCCAGACUCCUACGGGAGGGAGCAGUGGGGAAUAUUGGACGAUGGGCGAAAGCCUGAUCAAGCAAUGCCGCGUGAGUGAUGAAGGCCUUAGGGUUGUAAAGCUCUUUUACCCGGGAUGAUAAUGACAGUACCGGGAGAAUAAGCUCCGGCUAACUCCGUG
This 433-nucleotide ribosomal RNA is filed under the name uncultured bacterium. RNAcentral describes it as "partial 16S ribosomal RNA". It matches the Rfam family "Bacterial small subunit ribosomal RNA", at positions 29 to 507 of the family's 1533-position model. The record is from RNAcentral.